Long non-coding RNA from Equus caballus (horse), 1549 nucleotides. NCBI's taxonomy places the organism in Eukaryota, Metazoa, Chordata, Mammalia, Perissodactyla, Equidae. The record is from Ensembl.
UCUGAUCUUCUUUUGCUCAGGACCCCAUAUUUCCCUUUGGAUCCUGUAUCUUUAUCAAACAUUGCAUUGGAGUCCCAGAAGAAAUAAUUGGUUUUAGUAUUCGAUAGUGAGAUACAAAGUCAGACCUAUCAUUUGACUUUGAACUUCCUGGUCACUUCUGGUUGAGUAUGAUAAACAAAUGAGCCUCUCCAAAAUGAGACAAUGCUUCAUGAUAGAAGCUGAAGAAAAGUAGAGUCUCAACAAUAGGAUAGAUUCAAUGUUUCACGGGACAAAUACCCCUUUCAAAUGUAUAUCACCAGGGCCUACAAACAGCCAUUUUAAAGUUUGCCAAAUUAUGACCACAAGAUCUACCCUUCUCUCCUCUGCUGGGCAUGGAUCUGGAGCCUCAUGGACCAUGAGGAAAGCAGAAAUAUACAAUAGGUUGUGAACCAAUUCUCAGCAUCAAAGUGAGCAAGUCAUCAGGAGCUCCUCAUGUGGUGAGUUCUCCUGGAUGCAGAUUCUGCAAGAGGAUGGACCACCUUCAGGGAGCUGACUGUCCCAAACCCAAAGCAAUGAAGCCCAGGAGCCGCCAGCUCUUUGCAGAGGAGGGUUCCUGACACCUUGGAAAUGAAGAAGGAGAAACAUCUGGCAGCAAAUGGCUGAACAAAAUGCCACUGGACUGGAAAGGAGAUCCUCAGACUCAUGGUUGUGUCACCCCAGUGCCCAGCAUGCGGCCUGCACGUGAUUGGUCCUCGGUUCUGUAGUUGAUUGAGGCCAGGUUGUUAUUGGACGUAUCUGAGAUAUUUUACUCAGUGCCUUUUUUGUUAUUGUUUUAAUUAUGAAAGUCCUAAAUGCUCUGACAACAAAUUCAGACGGACAGAGGGGUAAAGCAAAAACCGUCCCCAUCCAUCCCUGCUCUUUUUUUUUUGAGGAAGAUUAGCCCUGAGCUAACAUCUGCUGCCAAUCCUCCUCUUUUUGCUGAGGAAGACUGGCCCUGAGCUCAGAUCCAUGCCCAUCUUCCUCUACUUUAUAUGUGGGAUGCCUACCACAGCAUGGCUUGCCAAGCGGUGCUGUAUCUGCACCCGGGAUCGAACUGGCAAACCCUAGGCUGCUAAAGCGGAACGUGUGAACUUAACCACUGCACCACCAGGCUGGCCCCCAUCCUUGCUCUUACUAACCAGGGUCAGUAACUCCCUAUAACUCAAUAAUUUCUUGUAAUUCCAUCUAGAAAUUUCUUAGCAAAUGUAAGCAUAAUAGACACACACACAGAGUUGGUCAUACUACACAUUAGAUCCUUAAUUUGCUUUUCUCACUUAAAAAUAUAUCUAUUGAAGAUCUUUCACACCAGCCUAUCCUAUAUAAUGGCUGCAAAAUAUAUUUCAGUGCUUGAGGGUGCCAUAAUUUAGUUACUCAUUCACCGUCAGGUGGAUGUUUAUAUGGUUUGCAGGUUUUUUGGUUUUAUAGUGUUAUAGUGAAUGUAAUCAUGCAUAGAUCAUUGGGCACUUUUACCAGUAAAUCUAGAUGGCACAUCACUAAAAGUGGAACUGCUGGGUCAAAUUUUGGAGAACAU